GACGAACGCUGGCGGCGUGCCUAACACAUGCAAGUCGAACGGAAAGGCCCUGCUUUUGUGGGGAGCUCGAGUGGCAAACGUGUGAGUAACACGUGAGUAUCCUGCCCAUGACUUUGGGAUAACUUCAGGCAACUGCGGCUACUACCGGAUAGGAGCUCCUGCUGCUUGGUGGGGGUUGGAAAGUUUCGUCGGUUGGGGAUGGGCUCGCGGCUUAUCAGCUUGUUGGUGGGGUAGUGGCCUACCAAGGCUUUGAUGGGUAGUCGGCCUGAGAGCGUGACCGGCCACAUUGGGACUGAGGUACGGCCCAGACUCCUACGGGGGACAGCAGUGGGGAAUAUUGCACAAUGGGCGGAAGCCUGUUGCAGCAACGCCGCGUGCGGGAUGACGGCUAUCGGGUUGUGAACCGCUUUCGCCUGUGACGAUGCGUGAGUGACGGUAAUGGGUAAAGAAGCACCGGCUAACUACGUG
Molecule: ribosomal RNA, 468 nt
Filed under: uncultured bacterium
Lineage: Bacteria
Description: partial 16S ribosomal RNA
Rfam family: Bacterial small subunit ribosomal RNA
Source: RNAcentral